Molecule: ribosomal RNA, 512 nt
Filed under: uncultured bacterium
Lineage: Bacteria
Description: partial 16S ribosomal RNA
Rfam family: Bacterial small subunit ribosomal RNA
Source: RNAcentral
GAUGAACGCUGGCGGCGUGCCUAAUGCAUGCAAGUCGAACGAAACUUCUUUAUCACCGAGUGCUUGCACUCACCGAUAAAGAGUUGAGUGGCGAACGGGUGAGUAACACGUGGGCAACCUGCCCAAAAGAGGGGGAUAACACUUGGAAACAGGUGCUAAUACCACAUAACCAUAGUUACCGCAUGGUAACUAUGUAAAAGGUGGCUAUACUACCGCUUUUGGAUGGGCCCGCGGCGCAUUAGCUAGUUGGUAGGGUAAAGGCUUACCAAGGCAAUGAUGCGUAGCCGAAUUGAGAGGUUGAUCGGCCACAUUGGGACUGAGACACGGCCCAAACUCCUACGGGAGGCAGCAGUAGGGAAUCUUCCACAAUGGGCGAAAGCCUGAUGGAGCAACGCCGCGUGGGUGAAGAAGGUCUUCGGAUCGUAAAACCCUGUUGUUAGAGAAGAAAGUGCGUGAGAGUAACUGUUCACGUUUCGACGGUAUCUAACCAGAAAGCCACUGCUAACUACGUG